AAAAUUUUUAACCCUGAAAACUCAAAACCUGAAAAGACUCUAACCGGACUCGAAAAUGUACCCGAAUGUCCACCUUUUAAAUAUAUAUUAAUAAAUUUAAUAUAUAUCUCUUUCCGUGUAGGGUGUGGGUCAUCAGCUAGUUAUAUUUUAAUCCAUUAUGGAAAAAAAAAUGGAGUUUUACAUUGAAAAUGCUCAAAGAGACAAAAACAAAGAACAGAACAAAGUUUAAGAAAUCUAGAUGGUAAUGAAAUUAAAAAGGAGAAAAUCAAGGUGUCACGUAAGUAAUGGAAAAUUGUCGCUGUAAAACGCCCGCCAACUAAACUAAAACUCGCCAUCAGUCCUUGAACAGGCUCACCACGUGCAUUCUACGCGCCACCACACCACGUCAAAGCAAAGAGAAGUUUUCCAUAUACAAACCUUAUUUUACAGCCGAUAACCAUUAACCAACCGUUGUUCAAAAAAAGAAAACCAUUAACCAACCACCACAGACAACCAUAUCUGUCAAGAUCAGAGUCAGCGGAGUCCGAUUUGAGAUUCUCAGCUUUAAAUCUUAGAUUUGAAGCUCUAUUUAAAAUUGAAAACCAUUUAGAAAUAGAAAACAUCUAAAACAGCUAGAACACAAGAUCGUCUUCUCACAGUACGACCGUCAUCUAGAGAAAGUGACAAACUUUAUUUUUCUCGCUCUCUGUUUCUUAGCAAUGCCGUGGAUAUUAAAUUACGCUUGACCUUUAUUUUUUCUUGUCGUUAUUACUCUACUAUCUAUACUAUACUAAAAGCAAGAUAUCCUCAAUGGAAAGGAUGCCACCUAAGAUUAAAAAUUCGGACCAAUUAGAAGUUGUUUUUCUGCCAUGUCAUUUAAGUAGACUUAUAAUGGGUUUUGUUUAAAUAAUAAUUCAGCCCAGCCCCACUCUUUUUAAAAACUCUUUUACGGCUUAGCUUUGAGAGUCAUAACUCUUCCACUUCUCUCUUUUCCGAUCUAUGAGUUUUAGCUUUACUUUGAUCUCUUCUGAUCAAUCAAUGAUUUGCAUUCCUAAUUGUCGUCUUCAAAACUGUAACUUCUAUAUGACGAUUCACUUUUCACGUAAUCCUCCACUAUAUAUACGAUGCUCCAGAUUUACACGGCUGCGAUAUAUAUUCAUCACUCUUCACCACAUAUACCUCUAUAUGAGUGACUCUUAAAAGUCCCUAAACCCAUCAACGCAACAAUCUCUCCCACCGUCUUUUUCCGAUGACCUGGUCCCCAUAUCCUCCCAGAACCGGAUGCUAAUUGGUCUUCAACUAAUCUUCAUCGACGAGAAGAUAUUCAAUUUCGAUUCCUUGAGCUUAAACCUGUAUUAAUUGUUUGAUCUAAGGUUUGCACUUUUAAUUGUUAUUAUUGUGCAGUGUUUGGGUUGCAAGAAGACCACCUGGUUACGCUUUUCUUGAUUUUGAAGACUCAAGGGACGACCGCGACGCCAUCCGUGACUUAGAUGGCAAGAAUGGAUGGAGAGUAGAGCAGUCUCAUAACCGUGGCGGUGGUGAAGGCCAUGGUGGUGGUCGUGGAGGAGGUGAUGGUGGUCGUGGCAGUGUUUCGGUUGCAAGAAGACCACCUGGUUAUGCUUUUCUUGAUUUAGAAGACUCAAGGGACGCCCGCGACGCCAUCCGUGACUUAGAUGGCAAGAAUGGAUGGAGAGUAGAGCAGUCUCAUAACCGUGGCGGUGGUCGUGGAGGAGGUGAUGGUGGUCGUGGCCGUGGUGGUUCUGAUUUGAAGUGCUAUGAGUGUGGCGAGUCUGGUCACUUUGCAUGUGAAUGCCGCUCCUGUGGUGGUGGUGGCGGCUUUAGGAGGGGUCGAAGUCCUUCUCCUCGUGGUCGCAGCCGUAGCCGAAGUCCUCCAAGAUACAGAAAGAGCCCAACCUAUGGAGGGCACAGGUUCUUUGUUAUUUGACAUAUAUAUAUAUAUAUAUAUAUAUUUUAGCGAAAAAAGAACUAGGUGUUCUUAGAAAUAAAUAAUCUGUCAGAUAAGUUAUUUUCUGAUGAACGAUCACCUUUGUGUGGUCAAUUAAGAAACAAAAUGAAAAGGGGAAGGGUGGGCAUUCAAAAAAUUGAAGUUGGGACCAAUACCACCUAAAAUGAGUUCUGCAUCACUCCAAAUACGUAAGAACAAUACUAGGGAAAAAAACAAAGAAAAGAUUAAACUACAUUUUUUCCGUAACAGAAUAUUAAACUACAUUUCCAGUAUUAGUUAGAGUGUCAGUCAUAUUAGUUAUUUUUGGAUUCCGAAUUGAAAUAUAUCUUAUAGCUACACAACAUCUGUUAAAUGGGACAAAGAUUAUAAUUUCAUGUUACAGUUACAUAUACAGUAGAAUUUCUAUAAAUUAAUACUCGAUAAACUAAUAAACACGAUAAAUUAAUUAAAAAAUUCAAUUCCGAGUUGGCCAUAUUCAAAAAACGACACAAAUCGAUAAAAUAAUAAAAUAAUAAUUUUUUUUAUAAAAUCUAAUGUAAAUAUAUAAUUCUAUUAUAGUCAUAAAUUAAUAAUUCAUAUAUAUAGUGUUUAUAUAACUACAAACAAAUCAUUCUAUUAUUUGUUUUAUAUUCACAGUGAUGUUCUAUUUUAUUUUUCUUAAUAGUUCAAUAUAUUUUGAUAAUAUUUGGUAAAAUUAUAUCUAAAACUACAUUUAAAUUAUAUGAAACAUAUCGUACACACCAAAUAGUAUAACAAAAUAAAAUAAGUGUAAUUUUUCAAAAUUUAAUUAAUAUAU
Brassica napus (rape) is the source of this 2741-nucleotide long non-coding RNA. RefSeq lists it as uncharacterized. The transcript is spliced from 3 exons. NCBI's taxonomy places the organism in Eukaryota, Viridiplantae, Streptophyta, Magnoliopsida, Brassicales, Brassicaceae. The record is from RefSeq and is a predicted model, not a curated record.